AAACUUAAAGGACCUGGCGGUGCUCCACAUCAGUCUAGAGGGGCCCGUCCAAUAAUCGAAACCACGCGAUAACCCAACCUCUUCUAGCCUCACAGUCUAUAUACCGCCGUCGAAAGCACGUCUUACAAAAGACGCAGCUAAAAAGUUAACAACACUAGCACGUCAGGUCAAGGUGUAACAUAUGAACAGGACAGGAUUGGCCACAGUAA
RNAcentral lists this ribosomal RNA (209 nucleotides) under Bronchocela cristatella (Green crested lizard). RNAcentral describes it as "partial 12S ribosomal RNA". The record is from RNAcentral. Lineage: Eukaryota; Metazoa; Chordata; Lepidosauria; Squamata; Agamidae.